CCUUUCUAUUUCUCAUUCCUGCGAUGAUAUUUGUAUGCAGUUUUUAUUACACGAUUUUCUUCUUAAUCCACUCCAGUAUUGGAAUUAAAUGGGCUAUCCUGCUGAUUUGAUUUAUCAUCUUGUUGCAGUUAUUUAUUAGCAUAGGCGGGAGACACUUUUUAUUCUUUUGUCAGAACAAAGCAGUACAUCAGAGCUUUCUACAUGAUUCUUGAUGUAAGGUUUCUAUUGCACUACAACUACAAGAAUAUGAUUUUUUUAUUCAUUUUUAUUUUCCUGAAAGAUAGUAUGCAACAACAGAAAGAAGGAAUUUAUAAGAGUUAUAUUGAGAGAAAGUGAAUUUUGCCCUUUUAGUUUCCUCAGAUAAUAUAUGUUCCACUCAAUCUUCAUUUAGGUUCCCUGUUCGCUUCGUCUUCUCCUCUGCCUUCACUAACUAUUUCCCGGCAAUUCUAUCUGUUUCCCGUCUUCAACUUCUCUAAUUAAAUGCAUUGCUUCUUUACAAGGAUGAAUCAGAAAUCCAACAGUGGUUGCUCAUUGAGACUUUCAUCGUACUGUCGAUUGCUCUGCUGAUUUGGGGAUUUUUUUUUUUUUUAAAACUUGGUAUCCGGCCUCUGCUGAUUUGGGGAUUACAGUUGGGUUGAUAUUAUAUGCUUUGAAUAGUGUGGGAUCUAAGCUGCUGCUGGAGAAUCCCUUCAUGCGAGAAGCUAAUUAGGAUCUCAACAAGCAAUCUCUAUUUUGG
Molecule: long non-coding RNA, 736 nt
Filed under: Trifolium pratense (red clover)
Lineage: Eukaryota; Viridiplantae; Streptophyta; Magnoliopsida; Fabales; Fabaceae
Description: long non-coding RNA (TPRA_LNC009307)
Source: RNAcentral